GGAGGAAAAGAAAGCAACUGCGAUUGCCCUAGUAACGGCAAGUGAAGCGGCAGCAGCCCAGAUUUGGAAUCUGGUCCUUUUGGGGCCCGAGUUGUAAUCUGCAGAGGAAGCGUCUGGUGCGGUGCCGGCCUAGUUCCCUGGAACGGGACGCCGUAGAGGGUGACAGCCCCGUACGGUCGGCCACCAAACCUGUGUGUCGCUCCUUCGAAGAGUCGCGUAGUUUGGGAAUGCUGCGCAAAGUGGGAGGUAUGCUCCUCCUAAGGCUAAAUACCGGCCAGAGACCGAUAGCGCACAAGUAGAGUGAUCGAAAGAUGAAAAGCACCUUGAAAAUGGGGUUAAAAAGUACGUGAAAUUGCCAAAGGGGAAGCGCUCGUGGCCAGACUCGUGCCUUAUGGAUCAUCCGGCUAUUUCGCCGGUGCACUCUAUUAGGCUCGGGCCAGCGUCGGUCGGCGCCGGUACUAAAAGACAGCGUGAACGUGGCUCUCUUCGGGGAGUGUUAUAGCGCGCUGUGUAAUGUGCUGGCGCCGUCCGAGGACCGCGCAUUUAUGCAAGGACGCUGGCGUAAUGGCCACUAGCGGCCCGUCUUGAAACACGGACCAAGGAGUCGCCCAGAGACGCGAGUGUGCGGGUGACAAACCCCUGCGCGAAGUGAAAGCGAACGCUGGUGGGAACCCUCACGGGUGCACCACCGACCGAUCCUGAUGUCUUCGGAUGGAUUUGAGUAUGAGCGUUUCUGGUCGGACCCGAAAGAGGGUGAACUAUGCUUGGGUAGGGUGAAGCCAGAGGAAACUCUGGUGGAGGCCCCGUUUGGGUUCUGACGUGCAAAUCGAUCCAUAAACCUGGGCAUAGCGGCGUGAA
Molecule: ribosomal RNA, 858 nt
Filed under: Melanospora verrucispora
Lineage: Eukaryota; Fungi; Ascomycota; Sordariomycetes; Coronophorales; Ceratostomataceae
Description: eukaryotic LSU rRNA
Rfam family: Eukaryotic large subunit ribosomal RNA
Source: RNAcentral